Long non-coding RNA from Patella vulgata (common limpet), 3255 nucleotides. RefSeq lists it as uncharacterized. The transcript is spliced from 4 exons. The record is from RefSeq and is a predicted model, not a curated record. Lineage: Eukaryota; Metazoa; Mollusca; Gastropoda; Patellidae.
CCAACCUCGUGGGUUUUCUCCGGGUCCUCCGGUUUCCUCCCACUGCUAAAGACCCCUACGCACAAGCGAAUUAUUGAAAUAAAAUUAAACCAUAUGUUAGUCCCGAAAUGACCUAGUUUGUGUCGAGUGGACGUUAAACCCCAUUUCUCUCUCUCUCACAUCAAACGGUUGGCAAGUUAUUGGAAUCAGGAAUGCUGUUUGGCAAUGAGACAGAUUGCACAACAGUUUGGUCACUAUCCCACAACAAUCAGUCGAUUAUAGCAGGAACAUAAAUAGACUAAUGCAAGAAAGGACUGGCAAAGCACAACUGAAUUUGAAUGAACUACACAAGUAAAAUAUUAAUGGUGGAAUAUAAGAUUUAUCUCCCUUGAAUUGAGAUAGGAAGCAGUUAUUGGCCCCACCCCCGCCUUUCAAAGAGAGCAGGGGACUAUUAAAAUGAGUUUGUCCGUCCGUCUGUCUGUCUCUCCGUAUCUAUGUCCCCCUGUUUGUCCAUUUGUCUUUCUGUCACACUUUUUGGGGCACAAUAACUCUCCUCCUUAUUGAGAUAGAAUGUUCAAACUUGGUGUAGUUGUUUAUAAGGUGAAUGCCUUGAUGGGGUCCGAAGAUAAGAAUUUUCUGUUUAGGGUAAACAUAGAUCAGCAAUUUGAUUGGCUGAUGCUUUGGGGCACGAUAACUUUACUUCUGAUUAAGUGAGAGUGAUCAAACUUGGUGUAUAGUUUCAUCACGUCAAUACCUUGACUAAGUUCGAUAAUGAACAUUUUCUGCUCAAGGUAAGCAGAGCGAUAAGCAAUUUAAUUGGUCGAGACUUUGGAACACAAUAAGCAAUCUGAUUGGUUGAUGCUUUGGGGCACGAUAACUUUCGUUAUAAUGAAGUGAGAGCAUUGAAACUGCAAAUAUAGAUUCAUUAUAUCAUUACCUUGACUAAGUUCUAUGAUGAUAAUUUUCUGCUUAGGCUAAGGAUCGAUAAGCAAUUUGAUUGGUCAAGACUUUGGAACAUAACAACCCUGCUUUUAAUAGAGGAAGACUGUUUAAACUUGAUGUUGAUGUUCAUUACGUGAAUGUCUUGACUGAGUUCAAUGACUCACAUAUCGCGCUAAAGCUAAGCAAAGCUAAGCAGGGAAUCGAAACCGCGUGUUGGACAGCAAUCACUAUACUACAUGAACGCUUGGAUAUCGCUAGUCAGUCAAUCAACCAGAUGAGUAUACAGGGCUGGUUGUAUAAUCUGAUGGACCAAAUUUGGGAGGCCCGAAGUUACAGGAUAUGAAUACAUUGCUGGAUAAUUAGGCCUAUAUUCAUUCAUAUUUAAAACUAUGCUUUACUUCAAAAUUAGUAAUUGAUUAAUACCUGAAAAUAGCCACACCUGUCAGUCCUGUUGUCAGAUUUCCUGAAAAAUAUUUAAGUUCGAGAGCUAUGGGACCCCUUUCUAGUGCGGGGCCCGAUUUGCGAAAUUGGUCAAAUAUGCUCCAAACCGGCCCUGCAAGUAUAUCUAUAUUAAUUUGAUAAUUUAAAUAUAAUGUGGACGGUUAAGAUAGGAUCACGUGACAAUGAUAAGAUAAUCCAAUGUAAAUAUGGGACAUUCAAUGAAUCAGACAUGGCGACUGUGUAUUUGUUACAACUUUUUGCCUUGUUGUUUUGUUUAAAUGGAGUUGUUCCUGAUUCCAGGGAAGUGAAAUACAUGAACACACUAUGUGGAGAAUUGGUCAUAGUAAAAAAUGCUGUCAGGUUUAUACUAGAACCAUAUAUGGUCAUGAAAAUGCCAGAAGAUUGUGAAGUCCAUAUACAAGCUUUUUCUGAUUAUUAUAUUUAUCAAGAUAAGAUCAACAUAGAGUUAUCUUUCCUUGGGUUAAAUAUAGCAUGUGAACAAGGCUCGGUAGAGAUUCUACAACUGGGUGAUUAUGAUGAUAAAUUAGCUUCAGCAAGUGGGGAUUCUAUUUGUGGUGACGAAAUUCCAGAACAAAUUUACCGAUCCACGGAAGAAACAAUAACAUUAAAAUUUCACAAAAUCUAUCCGCAAAUGUACACAGCUUCAUUUGAAAUAUUAGCCACAAAAAUAGAUAAGGGUGCUUGUUAUGAAGAUUAUGGUGGAUUCUUGUGCGACAACCAGGCGUGCGUUGAUCGAGAUGUACUGUGUGAUGAUUAUAACAACUGUCGUGACGGAUCGGACGAGUCAGAUAGUGAAUGUAUCGGGUUUUGGACCACGGCAGCGAUAUCUGGUGUUGUAGUCGGAUCAGUUGCCGGAGUUAUCGUUCUUGUUGUCGUGGUGAUUGUGUUUAGGAAAAUUAGAUAUGGCAGUGUGCGUUAAUAAGGGCUACACCCCAACCCCGAUUUUUGUGAAAUCUUCCAAGGACACUGGCUUUCAACAAGCAACAAUAUCUAUUAAGUAAAUUCCAUUCCAUUUUCGUAUAGAUUCUUUUUUUAAAUAUUUAUCCUAUAAUUUUUAUAUCAUUCUGGUUAAUUUUACCCCUAAAAAAACCCAUCCACAGUUACACAUCAUACACACCAGUCAACAAAACACACGCUAGUCACGAAAUUAGCAAAAUACACACGUUACCAAAAUACACACCAGUUACCAAAAUACACACCAGUUACCAAAAUAUAUACCAGUUACCAAAAUACACACCAGUUACCGGAAGUAUAACGCGACACUAGUCGUUUACACACACACACACUUUUCUAAUUGUUUUAAAACUAUAGACGUCAAUGCCUAGACAUCAGACGCCCUGAUAGACAACAGACGCCCUGAUAUCUAACAGUCUCUCUGAUGGACAACAGUCUCUCUGAUAGACAACAGUCUCUCUGAUAGACAACAGACUCCCUGAUAGACAACAGUCUCUCUGAUAGACAACAGACUCCCUGAUAGACAACAGUCUCUCUGAUAGACAACAGACUCCCUGAUAGACAACAGUCUCUCUGAUAGACAACAGUCUCUCUGAUAGACAACAGACUCCCUGAUAGACAACAGUCUCUCUGCUGGACAACAGUCUUUCUGAUAGACAACGGUCGCUCUGAUAGACAACAGUCUCUCUGAUAGACAACAGUAGACAUCAGACUCUGAUAGACAUCAGACUCUCUGUUAGACAUCAGUCUCUCUGAUAGACAACGGUACUUUUGAGAGACACCAUUAGUUCGCAUGGGCAUCAUUUAUAUGUGCGUGUAUUUAUCUCAUUUCGCGCAUCUUUUACAUUUUCCUCAUCAGUUUAUAAGCUCGUCUUACUUUGUUUUGUUUUGUAAAUAAAAACAUUACUUUUUAUUCAA